Molecule: unclassified non-coding RNA, 688 nt
Filed under: Hevea brasiliensis (rubber tree)
Lineage: Eukaryota; Viridiplantae; Streptophyta; Magnoliopsida; Malpighiales; Euphorbiaceae
Source: RNAcentral
ACAAUCUUCAUCUUUUUGCUUUACAGUAUCAUUUCAUUGACUCACUUCCUAUCUUUUUUGUUGUAAAAAUCUAUUUAAAAAAAAAAGAAUCAAGAAACUGCAUAAUUAAUUAACCCUAGUAAUGUUCAUCCUCUCAUGGUCCUAGAGUGCACUAAACCUUCUUCUAUCCUCUUAUUUUUUGGACGUAGCAACUUGGACAAAAACCCACCUUUCUUCUUCUUAUUAUUAUCAUCACUGGCCCUGUCUUUAUUGCCUCUGGUUCUUGGAACAAAAACCAACGAUCUACUCUUAGUGAGCACAUUCUUGCCACUUAACAAGAAAGAUAAAGAUCCCUUCCCUUGCACUCCAUAUCGAUAACGAUGCACUGGAGACGAAGAAGAAGAACAAGAAGAAGAGGAAUACGAAGAUAAUGAAGAAGAAGAAGAAACGGAAUCCAUUGCAGUAGAAGAAGAGGUAGUACGUGAGCUGCAGGAAUUUGAAAGCUGAAAGAGCUUUUCACUCAAACAAAUGGAGCAAACGCCAGGAGACUGCUUGUGUUUUGGGUGCUUCUUGCACCUGCCGUCAGGCCUAGAGCGAGGCAUAGCUUCCUUGGAUCUCUUCAGGUAUCACAUAAACGGGGGAUAUAAAUAGGAAGGCAGGGUGUGUGUUUUCCAUGAUAGUUCAUGGGAGGUUUCUUUGGGACUUCUUG